UACGGAGGGUGCAAGCGUUAUCCGGAUUUACUGGGUUUAAAGGGUGCGUAGGUGGGUCUGUAAGUCAGUGGUGAAAUCUCCGGGCUUAACCCGGAAACUGCCAUUGAUACUAUAGAUCUUGAAUAUCCUGGAGGUGAGCGGAAUAUGUCAUGUAGCGGUGAAAUGCUUAGAUAUGACAUAGAACACCAAUUGCGAAGGCAGCUCACUACGGGAUCAUUGACACUGAGGCACGAAAGCGUGGGGAGCGAACAGG
This 253-nucleotide ribosomal RNA is filed under the name uncultured bacterium. Its description in RNAcentral is "partial 16S ribosomal RNA". It matches the Rfam family "Bacterial small subunit ribosomal RNA", at positions 524 to 776 of the family's 1533-position model. The record is from RNAcentral.